Acanthosepion pharaonis is the source of this 94-nucleotide non-coding RNA. Lineage: Eukaryota; Metazoa; Mollusca; Cephalopoda; Sepiida; Sepiidae. The record is from the annotation of a GenBank genome assembly.
GUUGAAACACUGUUUCCCAUAAAAUCACCGAAGUUAAGUAACGUCGAACCUGGUCAGUACCUAUGUGGGUGACUACUUGGGAAUACCUAGUGCU